Molecule: ribosomal RNA, 254 nt
Filed under: uncultured prokaryote
Description: partial 16S ribosomal RNA
Rfam family: Bacterial small subunit ribosomal RNA
Source: RNAcentral
UACGGAGGAUGCAAGCGUUAUCCGGAAUCAUUGGGCGUAAAGCGUCUGUAGGUGGCUUUUUAAGUCCGCUUGUCAAAGACUAGGGCUCAACCCUGGGCAGGCAGUGGAAACUAAUAAGCUUGAGUGCGGUAGGGGCAGAGGGAAUUCCCGGUGUAGCGGUGAAAUGCGUAGAGAUCGGGAAGAACACCAACGGCGAAGGCACUCUGCUGGGCCGACACUGACACUCAGAGACGAAAGCUAGGGGAGCGAAUGGG